UACGGAGGUUGCGAGCGUUGUUCGGAAUUACUGGGCGUAAAGGGAGCGUAGGCGGUAUGUUAAGUCUGAAGUGAAAGCCCGGGGCUCAACCCCGGAAGUGCUUUGGAUACUGGCAAACUGGAGUGCGCGAGAGGAGAGCGGAAUUCAGGGUGUAGCGGUGAAAUGCGUAGAUAUCCUGAGGAACACCGGUGGCGAAAGCGGCUCUCUGGCGCGACACUGACGCUGAGGCUCGAAAGCGUGGGUAGCAAACGGG
RNAcentral lists this ribosomal RNA (253 nucleotides) under uncultured bacterium. RNAcentral's name for it is "partial 16S ribosomal RNA". It matches the Rfam family "Bacterial small subunit ribosomal RNA", at positions 524 to 776 of the family's 1533-position model. The record is from RNAcentral.